This is a long non-coding RNA of Polypterus senegalus (gray bichir), 1423 nucleotides long. RefSeq lists it as uncharacterized. NCBI's taxonomy places the organism in Eukaryota, Metazoa, Chordata, Cladistia, Polypteriformes, Polypteridae. The record is from RefSeq and is a predicted model, not a curated record. The transcript is spliced from 2 exons.
ACAACAGCGAUAUUACACGUGAACUGGCUGCGCAAGUUUACUUCAUCGCCAUUUUUGUAUGCGAUUACAAUUAUACAUUAAUUUCUAACCAGCUUAUUCAGAUGAAGAUUCGGAAUUAAACAUGUAAUGUGGUUUGAAUAUUUGACAGGGGAGGGUACAACGGCUCACGUGACCACGUUGAACUCCGUCUUCAAUCACGUGAUCUCACUGUUGACCGGUGUCGUUUUUCAUAAUGAAGUCUUUCCGCACCGGCGUUGCAGCAAAUAGUCAUUGUUUGACCCACUAAUGUUGGCGAGAAGCAGACGUGUCCAGUUUUAGUCCAGUGUGUGCCUACCUUGCUAACUCAACUGCUGUUCCCUAAAAGCGGAGUAAACGUCUAUGAAUGGCAUGCUUCACGGCUAAAGGUUGACACCUCAGGGGAAGGUUUGGGCACAGCCUUAAUGCAUGGGGUAGGAGAAGAAAGGAAACCUAUUUUGUUGCUCAUUCGAAAGCUGUUUGAUAAAGAAAAGAAAUACCGGUAUGUGGAGUUGGAAAAGAAGGACUAGCUAUUAAACGGGCAAUUGACAGUUUAAGAUGUCAGCGGAAUUUGUUGUAGAGAGUGACCAUAGGGCUUUGCAAUGGAUGCAAUGAAUGAGACAUUCAAAUUCAUGUGUGGCCCGUUGAUAUUUAUCGCUCCAAACUUACAGAUUUCAGGCGCUCUAUGUUUCUGGAAAGAAAAAUCUUGUGGUUCCGACCAUGUGAACUUAAAUCUUGAUGGGAAGGGUAUGUGGUAAUAUGCAGCCUUGAGCAUUACCAAUUUAAGUAAAAGUAACCAUAAGCUGAACAUUUCUGCUUUUAAGAGUAAAGGUAAGGCAGCAUAAAAGAAUGGCGCUUAAGGUUCUGUGUUGAAGGCGCUCCCACGCAAAAGAAGUGCCGUCUCAGUGGGUUGCCAACCAACAGGGGUCACCAAUGGACAUAAAUGGUGAGGUAGAGAUAAGCACUGCUGAGAUAUAGGGAGCAGUUGUUUUCUGUUUUCUUGAUGGCUUUGUAAAUAUCUCUUUUAUAUAUAUAUAUAUAUAUAUCUCCGAGUUAUUGUUUUUGGUGGUGGUAUAUGUACAUAUUUGGUUUUGGUGCAGUUGCUUUUCUUUUUGCAUGUAUAGUACACACACACACACACACACUUGAUUUUGUUUCUUGUAAAUAUUUUUCUCUAUUUUUCCCCAUUGAAAAUCUUCCUGAUCCAGUUUCAAAGAAGGAGGACUGACUUUUUUGUAUGCGUCUGUUGUUUUUGUAUUGUGGACUAUUGGAGUGCACGGUACCUAAUAUCUUUUUUUGUUUAUUUUUAGUGUCCGUGCUGAAGGACUGUGAAUUAAAGCCUGCAUGGCACUGCUUUGUUUUUGUUUUACAGCACUGUUGUAAUAAACAUGUAACCUGUCACCUUUCA